This 270-nucleotide ribosomal RNA is filed under the name uncultured Pseudomonas sp. Its description in RNAcentral is "partial 16S ribosomal RNA". It matches the Rfam family "Bacterial small subunit ribosomal RNA", at positions 1120 to 1382 of the family's 1533-position model. The record is from RNAcentral. Lineage: Bacteria; Pseudomonadati; Pseudomonadota; Gammaproteobacteria; Pseudomonadales; Pseudomonadaceae.
AGCACGUUAUGGUGGGCGACUCUAAGGAAGGACUGCCGGUGGACAAACCGGAAGGAAGGUGGGGAGUGACGUCAAGUCAUCAUGGCCCUUACGGCCUGGGCUACACACGUGCUACAAUGGUCGGUACAAAGGGUUGCCAAGCCGCGAGGUGGAGCUAAUCCCAUAAAAACCGAUCGUAGUCCGGAUCGCAGUCUGCAACUCGACUGCGUGAAGUCGGAAUCGCUAGUAAUCGUGAAUCAGAAUGUCACGGUGAAUACGUUCCCGGGCCUU